This 299-nucleotide small nuclear RNA is filed under the name Jaculus jaculus (lesser Egyptian jerboa). RNAcentral describes it as "7SK RNA (ENSJJAG00000006916.1)". It matches the Rfam family "7SK RNA". Rfam says of the family: 7SK was discovered as an abundant small nuclear RNA in the mid-70s but a possible function has only recently been suggested. Two independent studies have found that 7SK RNA binds the CDK9/cyclin T complex (known as elongation factor P-TEFb). The record is from Rfam by way of RNAcentral. Lineage: Eukaryota; Metazoa; Chordata; Mammalia; Rodentia; Dipodidae.
GGAUGUGAGGGUGAUCUGGCUGUGACACAUGUCACCCCAUUGAUCGCCAGGGUUGAUUCAGCUGAUCUGGCUGGCUAGGCGGGUGUCCCCUUCCUCCCUCACUGCUCCAUGUGCAUCCCUCCCAAAGCUGCGCGCUUGGUCGAAGAGGAAGGACUUCCCUGAAUAGAGGAGGACCGGUUUUUGGCCAAGGGUAUAGGAGUAGCUGCGCUCCCCUGCUAGAACCUCCAAACAAGCUCUCAAGAGGUGUGGUAAUUGUUGGCAUUAAUAAAAGUAGCUAACAUUUAUUUGCUACUUUCUGU